Molecule: ribosomal RNA, 253 nt
Filed under: uncultured bacterium
Lineage: Bacteria
Description: partial 16S ribosomal RNA
Rfam family: Bacterial small subunit ribosomal RNA
Source: RNAcentral
UACGUAGGGUGCGAGCGUUGUCCGGAAUUAUUGGGCGUAAAGAGCUUGUAGGCGGUCUGUCGCGUCUGCUGUGAAAAUCCGGGGCUCAACCCCGGACUUGCAGUGGGUACGGGCAGACUAGAGUGUGGUAGGGGAGACUGGAAUUCCUGGUGUAGCGGUGAAAUGCGCAGAUAUCAGGAGGAACACCGGUGGCGAAGGCGGCAUCCUGGACCGGCAUUGACGCUGAGGCGCGAAAGCCAGGGGAGCAAACGGG